Marmota monax (woodchuck) is the source of this 548-nucleotide long non-coding RNA. RefSeq lists it as uncharacterized. The record is from RefSeq and is a predicted model, not a curated record. The transcript is spliced from 2 exons. Lineage: Eukaryota; Metazoa; Chordata; Mammalia; Rodentia; Sciuridae.
UGACUAAUGCUAUUUUCAGAGUUCAAGUAAACACUUUCAUAAUGAGAGGAAUAGAGUUUACUGGGAAAGUUAGUAUUAUCUUCUAAAUAUGGUUUGAUAGAAAACAAUUUAGCCAGUAUAUUCUUGCUAUGCUAAAGUUACAACAGCAGGCUCUUUGAGCUGCAUAUAGCAUAAGCCCUACAGACCUGUUGCCAAGUUUUCAGCGGACACAACAUCUUUGUGUGUAUGUGGUGCUGGGGAUCGAACUCCGGCCGCACGCAUGCCAGGCGACCGUGCUACCGCUUGAGCCACAUCCCCAGCCCAGCCAAAGAGUCUUAAGCACAACUUAAAUUUCCUGAAAGAAGAGGGGUGUCACCAAAAUCUGCAGGACUCAGUGAAGAACAGCUCCUGUCUUCCCAGCGCUUCUCAAACUUACAUCAAACGCCCACACUUUGGGUGGGACUGUAGGUUCAAUCACUCUGUCUUUCUGAUUCCUUCCCCCUCCUUUGCAUACAGAACAAAAGUGAAUUUUCAAAAUUUAAAUAAACGUAUAUGAGGUGGUUUUAUUA